RNAcentral lists this long non-coding RNA (1350 nucleotides) under Rattus norvegicus (Norway rat). RNAcentral's name for it is "partial HAfT14". Lineage: Eukaryota; Metazoa; Chordata; Mammalia; Rodentia; Muridae. The record is from RNAcentral.
CUCGUUUUCAACCAGAGCCCAGAAACAGCCGUUGUCCCCUGGCAAAAGAGGCCCAGUGCUGAGCCCUGGGCAAGUGUCUCCAGACAUCCCUACCUUUCUCUCCCUUUAUUAAGUCUUCUUUCCCAACAGAACCCAUUUCCUUUGCCACUAAAACUAGGUUGCAUCCAAAAGUUUCUCACAAGCUUAAAAAAGAAAAAUUGACACCAUUAUGCAGAAGAAUUCACAAAAGCUGCAGAGCGCCAGGGCAGAGAAGCAGCGUCAGACACAGGCCCAGGACACACAGGACGGAUGUUUCCAAGUCACUCCAGGGACAGCAUGAGGCUCUCGCUGGCCUGUGUCUCAGAAGCUGCUUUCUCCACCUCUUCCUUGUGAAUUUCCUAAACUCUCUACCUCUGGUUCAUGUUCGCUCUUCUGGAUAGUCUGUGUGCAAUGAGCCCUUAAAGGAAUAUUGCAAUGAGCUAUAAGAGUUGUGAGCCUGCGGUAGGCAAGGCCUGCACUGGGACAGCAAAGGAAAUUUCAUUGCAUCUGCUCCUAAGUCACAGGUUAUCCAGAGCCCACUUUACCCCAAGAGACAGCCUCUCCCCCAUCCCUAGGAAACAGUAGAGCUUAGGAAAAUGAAUGACUCCACCACAUUCAAGAGGCUUCAAAUUGUAUACUUGGCAUUUCUGAUUUCAGUUCUGAAAUUCUGUCCCUUAGUCGUGGGGAAAAUAAGAAAUGGAGUUACACCUUGUCAUUUAAAAAACCAUUGAAUUAAGAGAAAUGGAAAAUCAUGCCCACAUAAAACAUGUAUGGAAGUGUUCAUGUUUUGAUCAUGGCGGGGGAUAUAGCUCAGUCAUGGAGUGCUUGCAUAGCAAUGUGCAUAAUCCGAGGUUCAAGCCCCAGCACCGAAAAAGAGAAGCGGGAGGAGUGGAGGCAUUCACAGCAGCGUUUUCAGUAUAGGCGCAAAGGGGAAGGAGUUUAAACACCUACUGAGGAAUGGAUAAGCGGAGUGCCUUGUCUAUACUCGGGAUGCUAGUCAUCAGUAGAAAAGUUUGAAAUGAUAGAUACGAUGGAUGAUCCCUUAAACAUCUCCCUAAGUAACGAGGUCAGCCUAGGAAGGCGUAUGUUCCAUAUUUCUGGGAUAUAUGGGCUCACCGAUGCAGAAAAAAGUACAGCCUGGUAUCCUGGAUUGGAGACACGGACUGGACUUUGGAAGACAACAGAAUGGAACAGAAUUUACUUGAGUGGCGAUGUUCUUGAAUGAACGGAAGUCAUGCUUGCCCACUUGAUGACUGCAUUUACAAACCACUGAAUUUUACUUUUAGUGGGUGAAUUGCAUGGUACCUUCAUUUUAAUCUCAAUAAAGCUGCG